CUGCCGCUCUCGGCUCAAUCGCACUUUUGUUUUUGUUUUGUUGAUGGACGAGAAAUGCGCAACAGUUGCGUGUAAAUUGAAGAAUAAAAGAAUCGCGCAGAAUGCAGCAUAAUUCGAUGGUAAUCGUACUGUAAUAUCUGAGUAUGGAUUAUCGCGAGAAAGUGAGUCGUAGGUUGUGCAAUGUAGCAGGUCUUAAUUUGUGAUAUGCGAGGUAAUUGGAACAUUCCAUUAUACCUUAAUUUGCCGUAAAAGUUGCCCCUUACUGUUUGGAAUAAGUCCCGGAAAUAGGUUUUGCGCAUCAACGCCUCAAACGAUCUUUUGACUGGCUAACGCCGAAUCCGGAAAUCUUCCGUAAAAUAUCACACUGACUUCCCACCACCAUGACCUUUACGCAACCGUCGAUUCCGACCUGUUUGGCUCACCUCAUCCUGGCAGGAGUCACGGGGUGGUCCUUAAAACAUCUGCCUAUCGGUCACGAGAGCAGUCAUUCCACAACUAGUGGUGAUGAUUUGGUUCCGCUUAUGUUGGUUUUGUUAGUCUUCCUACUAGGUCACAGUUUGCUAGGAAUAUUCCGUCACAGUCAUCCGGAUCCCCAUAAAAAUCUUCGGAAAAUGUAUGAACUGUCGGUCAUGCUGGCCAUGAUUCUCCCGUUACCGCUGCUGAACACUCAACUUUACCUCAAAUAUCAACUGGGAAAUGGAUCUCAUCUGCCUCUUUAUAGUUAUCUAUCAAUGAGUACAUUCCUACCAUUCCUGAUUGGGUGUCUGUAUUCGGAACUGAGUCAACGGCAUAAGAGUCAAUAUGUAACAACCGUAGUCACCGUUGUGAAUUUGACCGUACUCUUGUGGAUCUCAGCUUUCAACGAAAACUACUGGGGCAUCGGUUUAGCUGUUUCAUAUGGAAUGAAAUAUUUCACCCUACCUCGACUGGCCGAUCGAUACAACGUACCAUUCGUUGAUCUCCACACCUAUGGAUUGGGAUUUUUCGAGAUCUUUGCGAUCAAUGUUAUAAUCGAUGCCGAUCUAUAUCGGACUGAGUUAGUCAUCCAGUGAUGAAGUCUACUAUAGUGCAGUUACCAACAAACGAUCAAGUUUGCCUUACAAAACUGAAUCAAAUCGCUUAUUCCAGUAACUUUUUAUACUAGAAUGUAGGACGAAAAAUGUUAUUAUAUAUUUUUAUAUACAUUUGUAUACAUGCUGAAAGGAAAUAUUAUUAUAAGCUUUAAAAAUGAGACUUUUGAAUCGUGUCUAAUUCAUGUUAGAAUUAGAUAGUGAAUGCAAACUAAAUAGCUUGAAAUCAUCUAUUGUCAUAUAUAUAGCUACUUACCAUAGUAUAGUUGGAUUAUUGGCAAAAAUAAAAAAAAAUAAAUAUACAGCCGAGACAUAACCAGUAGAAUGUAGUAAUAGUUUACACAGCUCUAUUCAUAUACAAUGUUUACUGCGUAAGUAAAUCUUUUAUUAUUAUAUUAUAUUUAGCCAAACCGAUAGCACAAGAUA
Molecule: long non-coding RNA, 1496 nt
Organism: Aedes aegypti (yellow fever mosquito)
Lineage: Eukaryota; Metazoa; Arthropoda; Insecta; Diptera; Culicidae
Exons: 3
Source: RefSeq, a predicted model, not a curated record